AAUUCACGAUUCCUCUCCUUAGCCAAACAAAAUGAACUAAGGUGUCCUUAGAGGAUCAAUUGUGACAUGGUUUCAUAAUCACUAAGAUAAUCAUAAAACAAGAUACUCAAGUACUCUCCCAUCUCUUCAGAUUAGAGAAACUUUUAUCUUUCUGCCUUAUUUGAUUCUUCUUACUCAUUAUGUCUAUCAUUGAAACUUCUCCAAUGAUCCAGAACUAUACUUAAACUUGUAAGUAUAACCAUAUUUACUAAACUUUAGUAAAUCAUAAUGAAUAAUCUUAUCAACUUUGUGGUGGACCUGAUCAGCGCACACCCAAGUGUAUCCGAUCCCUUUGUCCUUCACUUGAUUCACAUAUACAUGUGAACAAGGAAUUAGACUUAAUUUCCCAAAUAUAUAAAAAAAAUUCUCAUGAUCAUACAAUACAAGUUGCAUGAUUCCAAGUUUCUAUCCAACUGAAACUUGGGUGAUGAGAAUCUUUCCUUAUUUGGUAAAUUAUGACACUUCCACUAAUGAAAGAAUCAAAUCCAUUUACCCAUAUUGCUUAUCAAUGGAAACAUAUAAUCAACAAUUUUUCACAAAUGCCAUUGUAAGGAUACUUAAAAAAAGUCAAAACCAUUUUUCUUAUAUUUUAAAACUUUGCGGAAAAAUUUAUCCUUACAAUCCAUAUGGAAAACUUGUUGUUAUCUAUUCCUAAGCAAUAUAUCAUAACUCUUAAGUAACAACUCAAAAUUCUGAUCACCGAACCAUGCGAUCGAAAUCCAUCUUCGCGAUCAGAAUCAGCAUAUACUUCCUUUAAGUGUCUUCACUUUUUCUUUGAUUCUUAAAACAUCAACAUGUGACCUCGUCACAUUAUGCAAUAAGAAUCUCAGAAUAGAAACUUAAUAGAGUUAGACAAUGGACUUUACCUGAAGUAGAGUCAAACCUAUUGACUUUACCAUCCUUAAGAUGUUUCAGGUAAAUUUAGCAGCUUCGCAACCAAUGUCUUUCCUUUGGCAACAGAAUCUUAUGGACUCUUUGGAAACGGUACAUGGGACUAUCACAGACUUAACCUUUCUCUUUACCAUUUGGUCAACCGAGUUGACUAUGGCCGAUCCCUUUCCAUUGGGAAGAGAAAGUUUUUCCUGGACCUCCAAUGUCAAUGUCCAAAUAGGUUUGGAAAGUAGAUCUUCCAAUCCAAUUUACUUUACAAAUGCUCCAAAUCACUGCUGAUUUAGUAUCAUCUAGCAAAUAGGUAAGAUCAUUAAGGUUGUUGUCGCGACCUGUCAUCAGGGNCUAGAUUGCCUUGAUAAGACUUUAUCAAAUCAUACACCUGGAGUCUAAACCUUUCCUUAGAUAGCUCACAUGUGAGUCUAAACCUUUGCCAUUCUCAUUAGUUAGUGUGCCGGUUAACCACACACGCUCCACUAACGACAUGAGAAUGCAAACUUCACACUUGCUAUCCACUUAAAUCUACUUAGUGAAAGAGUUUCCUCACUAUCAUUUUCAUGAAUCUGAGAGAAACCUUAUGACACUUAGAUUUUGAUGGUGUAUGUGUUCCUAUCCAUGUAAAUUUGAAAUAACCAUAAUCACACGACAAGGUUAGUGACAAAUCCAAAUUCAUAUGGACAGAACUUGUGCAGUCUUAAUUUCUUGCCACCUGGUAGCACAAGGGCCUGCCAUUGCUUCCAAGUUGUUAUGCAACCAGUUGAGAACUCUCAGAACUCCAAUGCAAAACCAACUUUAACUGGAAUGGGCACAGAAUAUGUCAACACGAUAGGUUACAAACCUCAAGUCGUGGUCUAGUGAUUAACAAAACUCUUGAUUAGUUCUUGAAUCUAUCUUAAGAUCCUUUUAAGACUCCCACUGACCUCUUGACAUAUAAGAUUCUCUUUGUCAAGAACCAUUCCUUGACAAAAACGAAUAUUCAAGAGUUAGUGCAGAUUCUUAUCAAGUUAAACACUUCUCACAAUUGGUCUUAGUUGGUCUUUGUUUUAUCCAAAACAUCACAACUUACCAAUUUCAAAUGUACAAGAGUAAGAACACAUUUUACUCUACAUUUAACAAGUGUUUUAAACCUUUAUUAAGAUUAUGUCACUCAAGGCUUAACUUGGAGUAUGACUCUAAGAUUUAAUUUUGGAACAAAGUAUAAUUUAUCUUUUGAUCUAACCAUUUCAACAAUUCACGAUUCCUCUCCUUAGUCAAACAAAAUGAAGUAAGGUGUCCUCAGAGGAUCAAUUGUGACAUGGUUUCAUAAUCACAAUGAUAAUCAUAAAACAAGAUACUCAAGUACUUUCCCAUCUCUUCAAAUUAGAAAAACUUUUAUCUUUCUGCCUUAUUUGAUUCUUCUUACUCAUUAUGUCUAUCAUUGAAACUUCUCCAAUGAUCCAGAACUAUACUUAAACUUGUAAGUAUAACCAUAUUUACUAAACUUUAGUAAAUCAUAAUGAAUAAUCUUAUCAACUUUGUGGUGGACUUGAUCAGUGCACACCCAAGUGUAUCCGAUCCCUUUGUCCUUCACUUGAUUCACAUAUACAUGUGAACAAGGAAUUAGACUUAAUUUCCCAAAUAUAUAAAAAAUUCUCAUGAUCAUACAAUACAAGUUGCAUGAUUCCAAGUUUCUAUCCAUCUGAAACUUGGGUGAUGAGAAUCUUUCCUUAUUUGGUAAAUUAUGUCACUUCCACUAAUGAAAGAAUCAAAUCCAUU
Molecule: long non-coding RNA, 2682 nt
Filed under: Lactuca sativa (garden lettuce)
Lineage: Eukaryota; Viridiplantae; Streptophyta; Magnoliopsida; Asterales; Asteraceae
Description: long non-coding RNA (LSAT_LNC007317)
Source: RNAcentral